UCCGCGGUAGAUCAACGGUAGAUCGGCGCCCUGUUAAGGCGAUGGUUGGAGGUUCGAAUCCUCCCCGCGGAGCCG
RNAcentral lists this transfer RNA (75 nucleotides) under Chloroflexota bacterium. RNAcentral's name for it is "Chloroflexi bacterium tRNA-Asn". It matches the Rfam family "tRNA". From Rfam's summary of the family: Transfer RNA (tRNA) molecules are approximately 80 nucleotides in length. Their secondary structure includes four short double-helical elements and three loops (D, anti-codon, and T loops). Further hydrogen bonds mediate the characteristic L-shaped molecular structure. tRNAs have two regions of fundamental functional importance: the anti-codon, which is responsible for specific mRNA codon recognition, and the 3' end, to which the tRNAs corresponding amino acid is attached (by aminoacyl-tRNA synthetases). tRNAs cope with the degeneracy of the genetic code in two manners: having more than one tRNA (with a specific anti-codon) for a particular amino acid; and 'wobble' base-pairing, i.e. permitting non-standard base-pairing at the 3rd anti-codon position. The record is from RNAcentral. Lineage: Bacteria; Bacillati; Chloroflexota.